UCACCUAUUCACAACCCACCCUCACCCUCCUCUUGUCUCCCUCACAGACACCUCCUACUAAGAGGACUCACUGUUCAUGUCUCAGACUUCCUCACAGGUGGGUAGGAUGGUGAGUUCUAGCCAAGAAAAAAAAAAGAAAAAACUAAACUAAAAGUCUCCCAGAAAGCUCACAGGAGUCUCUGCUCAGAUAAAAAGAUGAGUCCUUCACUCUUCAUGUUGCCUUGAGUGAGAAGAUGAUGCCUGAGGCCCUGUUGGCUUUAUGCAAACGCGGAGUUACAGGUAAGAGGAAGAAAGCAGGCAUACGAGGAGGUAAAGAUAAAGCAGAGACAAACAUAGUUCCUGAUGGCUCUGCCGUUGAACCGGUGCCAGCAAACCGCUAAGUCAGGCUUCUAGUUAUGCAAGGCAAAAAAAAAAGCCCCCAUUGUUCAAUCUACCAUCGAUCAAACUUUGGUUACUGUUGUUGCCUGCUCAGAAGUGCUUCCAUCAGAUAUGGCUUCUCCUUCGCGGGCAUCGCAUAGAUGAUUGUGAAGAACGCACAUCCCGUUUGCUGCAUUUCCCAGCCCCGCUGAUAAUGAGUCCCACCCACCCUUGGGGUACACAAACUCGGAUGCUUAUCAGGAUCACUUGGAGGUCCUUUAAAACAUGAAGAUGGUUGAGAAGAAUGUGCAGAAAUGUUGUUUCAGAUAAGGGGAAGCACAAGCUCAUGGAAAGCAAAGCCAACAUCCACAUAGCCUGCAAAGAACCUAAAACGUGUGCUGGCUGCAAAAUGCACCUUUCUAGACAGCGUUCUCCAUCUAUGGAUCUUAGACUACACGUUCCAGCCAGUUGAAAAAGAAACACACAUUUUAGAACCCUGUUUCUUAACUCGGGGUCUACAGAGCUCUUCCCACUGGUAUCAAAUCCUGGGGUCCCCACUCUGGAUUUCUUUACUGACUGCAAUUCUUUUCUUUACCAUAGUCAGUGGUUAUCUACAUACCCCAGGGAGUUCUAGACACUGGGCUGUGAAAUAAGUCAGGCCCAUAAUUAUUUAUUUGAUCUAUAAGAUAUGCAGAAGAUUAUUUUAAUCAAGGACGGAACAACUCGAUAAUUAAACAUAAUUCAUCUAAGCUCUCGCUACACACUGUGGUCCAGUCUAGCCUUAUCUGUAUUGUUUGAGGACUUACCAGAAAUGCUAAAUUUAAGCCCUUAUUCCAGAAUUACAUCAGAAUCCCAUUUUAAUAAGAAUCUCCAGGCCUUCUGUAUACAUAUUGAGACUUGGAAAAUGCUUCUGUGAGUGUCUGUUAUCAAAUUAACGGUACACUGGGAGCCCUAAGGCCUGGGCCUCAAGUUCAGAGAUCAGCCUUGUCUGUGAGCCGGAUCAGACAUUAGGCACCAUGACUCAUCAAGCACAAGGCACUAAGGCCCUUCAAGCAUCAAGCACCAUAAACAUAUACUUUUUAAUAACACACACACACACACACACACACACACACACACACCCCAAGGACUCUUGUUCCAGAGACUUGUCUCUAUUCUCUGGAACCCAUGUUUCUUUUUCAAAGAAUUUUUUUAAAAUUUAUGUGUACACGUGCAUGCCUCUGUGUACGCACAAACCACAUGUGUGUGUGCCCAAUGGAGGCCAGAAGAGGUGGCUAGGAGGCCUGAAAUUGGAGUUACAGGCAGUUAUGAGACGCCCCAGUGGAUGCUUCGAACUUCACUCAGGUUCUCUGGAAGACUGCUGAGCCAUCUCUCUCCAACCUCAGGAAGACACAGUUUUAAUCAACACCUUUGGAGUGGUGUAGGCUGACCACAGACCACGGGGUUACAGAACUUUUGAGGGGGGAAAAUUCUUGAGGAUGCCAAUUAAUUAGUCUGGCUGCUGAUUGAUGUGUAUCGCUGGUGAAUCUUCGAGUAACUGUGCCUCUUCAGAAAGCACAGCAGAGAGUAAAGCUCUGACUCCUACCUCCUGCCAGAAAUUAUGCUGGCUGCAAAAUACUACCUACAGACAGCCUGCAGCCUGACAAGGGCCAAGCCUACCAGCAAGCCAGACUCGGGAGACAACACAUACAGAGAAACUCCUUUUCGGGCUAGGUAGGGAAAGAAUCGUGCUUUGAAACCACACACCUUCUGACAACUGAGAAUUAAAUAGAGAAAACCCUUACCAUUUUGGAGGAGGGUCUAAAUGGUGACCUGGUACAAACCACCACAAAAGGACCACAUAAAAAGGCCGCGUUCUCCUCCGGUUGGCCAGCAUUAUGAUUCUCCAAGCACAAGUUUGCCAUGAAGAAUCUGUGGAACUCAUGCACACAGGUUGCUGUUUAUCUUCAAGUGCCUCCGGGCCCUGAGAAGUGGGCAUUGUUUGAUACAAUGUUUCAUCCAGAGGGUUGUUUCAUCCUGAGGCACAUGAUCUGCUUAGUUCUCCUACCUAAGUUGUCCAACUGCUAAGAGACAGGAUGCUAACUGCUAACAUCCAGUUAACGUGUUUCCCACGGUGUCUGGAACCCAAAUGGACAAGCAGAAGCACAUGCUUGCUUGAUUGAAUAAGGGCAAUAAACACAUUAUACUGUCUUCCUGAGUAGUAACGUCAUGCUGACUGAUCCCCGACAUGGCAAGGGCUUGACCAUCACCAGGAGAUUUUUGAAACACCACGUCAGUUGUCCAUCAGUAAGAGACUGAAUGAAAGAGCAACAACAAGAAGCAAGUCAUGUCACAGCAUGGGGCGGUUUUCGAAGACUUAAUGGGAAUUAUAUCAUUGGAUUCCCAUGGCAACCUUAAAGAGCAAGAGCCUGUAGUUUCCUGUCCGAUUGUUCCAAAUGAUGCUUCCAGUAUCACGAUGAUUAGCAGUGUGAUGGAGGGACACACCUAAGCAUAGACAGACCUAAAGACCCCACAGUAUCAAGAAUUUGGUCAUGUUCAGAAAUCAUGUGCACAGAGUUUGGGAGUGGAUUUUGGAAUUAAGAUUACUGUGGUGCAGAACAAUGACUCUCCUCCACUCUGGUCAUGGCGUGUGAUGACCAAACCCAGGCUUAUUGUGCCAUGAUUUAGGAAGUAAGAUGAAUGCACAAAAGAAACUGGCCUUUGAUGGUAAAAGUGGUUUAUUUCUGGUUCUCAAGUUUAUUGACAGAAGAUAUUAACAAGGACACAGGAAUCGUGAAGGGCAAAAAAAUAUGCCUUAUCAAAGAAGUGCAUGUACGCUCACCAGGACACGUGUUUGGAGAAGUUGGUACCACCUAACUUUCAUUUGCUCUUUAACCCUUCGGGUUGUUUGCUGGCCAAGUGCCUGGGCCACUGCUGCUUGAAUAAAGUUCUUUGCCUUC
Rattus norvegicus (Norway rat) is the source of this 3296-nucleotide non-coding RNA. NCBI's taxonomy places the organism in Eukaryota, Metazoa, Chordata, Mammalia, Rodentia, Muridae. The record is from RefSeq and is a predicted model, not a curated record.